This 40870-nucleotide long non-coding RNA is filed under the name Brassica napus (rape). RNAcentral's name for it is "long non-coding RNA (BNAP_LNC010495)". The record is from RNAcentral. Lineage: Eukaryota; Viridiplantae; Streptophyta; Magnoliopsida; Brassicales; Brassicaceae.
UCCAUCUUUCAUAUGCGAUUGGCGCGGUCUUGCCACUCUUGAUUUAUCGAACAACAACUUUAAUGGUUCAAUCCCUCGUUGUAUGGGAAAUCUCAAGAGUUCUCUUUUAGAUCUAAACCUUCGUCAAAAUCGUCUUAACGGAGGUCUUCCUGAGAAUAUAUAUGAAAGCUUAAGAACGCUUGACAUCGGUCAUAACCAACUGACGGGAAAGCUUCCAAGAUCAUUGAUCCGUUUCUCUAGUCUUGAAGUUCUGAACGUGGAAAGCAACAUUAUCAAUGACGUGUUCCCGUCUUGGUUGAGUUCUCUACCGGAGCUUAGAGUUCUUUUAUUAAGCUCAAAUGCCUUCCAUGGACCAAUACCUCAAACUUCGUUCCCUAAGUUACAAAUCAUAGACAUAUCGCACAAUCACUUCAAUGGAGCUUUGCCAUCAGACUACUUUGUUAAGUGGAGUGCUAUGUCAUCACUUGUGACAGAUUAUGAUCUGGACCAAAAGUACAUGAGAGAUUUCUAUUACUAUAAUUCAAUAGUUUUGAUGAAUAAAGGCUUCGAGUUGGAGCUACAACGUAUCUCACAAGUCUUCGCAGCACUCGACUUUUCAGGAAACAAAUUUGAAGGAGAGAUCCCAAGGUCCAUCGGUCUAUUGAAAGAGCUUCAUGUUCUCAACUUGUCCAACAAUGCUUUCACCGGCCAUAUCCCAUCGUCUCUGGGAAACCUGACGGCUCUUGAGUCACUGGACGUUUCCCAAAACCAGCUGUCAGGAGAAAUUCCGCAAGAGCUAGGGGAACUCUCGUUUCUUUCCUACAUGAACUUCUCUCAUAACCAGCUUGCAGGUCUAGUACCUGGAGGCACUCAGUUUCGAAGGCUGAAUUGCAGUUCGUUCGAGGAUAACAUGGGACUUUUUGGCCCUUCUCUAGACGAAAUUUGCAGAGAUAUUCACACGUCAACAGUGACGCAACAGUAUGAAAUGCCGGAAUCAGAGGAUGUAGAAGAGAUGUUGAGUUGGACAGCAGCUUUAAUAGGAGUCUUACCUGGUAUUGCCUUUGGAUGGGUUAUUGGAUACAUACUUGUUCCUUACAAACCAGAGUGGUUCAUGAAACUCUUUUUUCUACGUAGACGCAGACACCACAACUCAUUAAAGAGGUAAUGUUCCGAGUUUUGAACCAAUUUGUUAACAAACAUUUGAAAAAAACAAAAAUAUAUUAGUUAAAAACCUUUUUGUUGUACAGGUUUUUCGUAACAUACGUGAAGAAUCUGAAAGAAGAAAUUUAAAGCAACCACUAUGUAUGAAUCCAGAUUAGCUAGCAUUAGGGGUAUCGUUUCCGGUUUAGUUUGGUGUGUUUUCCCAUUACUCCUUUAUAUAACUUUGUUUGAAAGAUUGUUUGUUUCUCUGUUAUUGUUUCCGGUAUAGUUUGGUGUGUUUUCUCUCUCUGCCUCUCUAUUUUAUUUUUUACUUUUAGCCAACUUCUUUGUGUCUCUGUAAUUGAACAACUAUGUUCCUUACGUCAUCUAAAUAUCAACGGUAUAGACGUGAUCAGAGCAACAAACAUAUGACCAAGAUCAACGCUAUAAGCAGCACGUGACUUUGGAAAAAGGAUAUACAAACUUUUUUUUGGUUAGAGGAUAUACAUACUAUAUAUGGAUAUUUCGAUUGUUCAUGUCAAUGAAACAUAUGAAUACAUAGAAACUCUAGACCUUUCAAAUAUUUGUAUCAAAAGAAUCCAUUUGCUAUCAAAAGGUUCAAGAUAUCGAGAAUCUUUGGAUUAGUUAAGUUGUUAUUAGAGCAUCUCCAAUAUAAAACGCCAUUUUUUCCUCCAAAAUGGGUACCCAUUUUAAGAUUGUUAGGCUUUUUGAAAGUUUUUUUGACAAAACAAAACAAAAGGAAAACAAGUUUUGCAUUGAAGUCAUGCCAAAGAAGUUGCAUGAAUUUUUUUUUUUUUUGAUAACCGAGUGUCCUGGUCCCACCGUGGUGGUCCAGACUAGAGACCGAGUCCGUAGCAGGUUCAACACCCAGACAAUGGUCUUCGGUCUCGGGCGCCAGAGCAAGUCCGCAUGUGAAUUCCCUGGUGGCCAGUGGAAAUCGAACCCGGGUCCGUAUUGGGACCGAAGCUCCCUCAAGACCACUAGGCUAACCCCGCUGGUCAAGUUGCAUGAAUUAAAUCUAGCAAAAACUAGCAGUGAUAAUCAUUGAUCUAGGUUCUUACCUUUAGAUAAAAUUACUGGUUAUAACAAAAAGAAAAGCUCAAAUCUGAUGCCUAUCACACCCUUCACCAAGAACAAACGAGGAAUCUGGGUGGAAAAAUAAACUUACAAGAAUAACAAAGAGAUCACAAUCUUUAUGCUUAUUGUGACCACUGUUAAUAAAAGGAAAAUGACAAAGCUUCUCCUAGAAUUUAACACAACAAAGGAUUCCAUGCGAUUGCUGGAAAAAUCUUGUCGGAUAAAAACAUGACGAUUAUUUACAUGGUUUCUCUGUCCAAAAAAAUAUAAACAGAACUAAAUCUAUAAAAUAUCUUUCAAAUCAUUUAGCAUCACUCUGAAACACUAUGCAGCCUAAAAUUGUACUGUUUUUUCUAUACACCUAAUUUUCAUGUCUUUCAUUGGUUUUGAGCUAAUUCACCCAAAGAGAGAACUUACUUUGAUCUGACAUUACAAAAAGAUAUGAGUACAUGAAGUAAGAUCUAACCAAAUCUUUUUACAUGAUUUUGCCUAUCAAAAACGUAGAGUUAAUUUUGGAGGAAUAGGAGCAGGAGAGUCGCAAUUAAUUAUGCACAGUCUAUUGGUACGUAGUUAAUUAUGAGAAAGUUCUUUGGUAGGAACACUAAUUUCUCAUUAAAAUUUGGGUUUAACGAUCAUCUUCCAAUUUAUAACAAAAUUCCUCUUGGAUCAACCUAUAUUUUAAUUUCCUUGAUUGUCUUUUUAAAGUCUUGCUUCCCUUUUGUUUAAUGUCCACAAUCAACAAAAAGAGACAUCCAACUGAUUGGUUAUUUAAGUCUCUCUCUGGUACGUUAUCCUUUGAAUUUUCAACAUUAUACUUUGCAUUUUCUCUCCUUAUUUCCCCUCAAGGACCCCAUAACUUUCUCCAAACUCCAUAAAGUAUUUGGAGCCCGCAACGUCAGUAAGCUUCUCAGUGAGGUCCUUGAAGAACAGAGACAAGAAACCGAUAACUCGUUUGUCUUAUGAGACUGACGUUCGUCUCAAGGAUCCAGUUUACGGUUGCAUUGUAGCCAAUAGCUUCUCUGCAGAAGAAGAUGCUUGAGCUUGAACAUGAUAUAGCCCUUGCUCGCUCUCGACUACUUGGCCAUUCUGGAGUUAACAACAACAAAGCUGCAGUCUACUCUGAUGCCGUUCUCUGAGUUUUGAUCACGAGGAGAAGGGAGAUGCAUUGUAUGGUGAAUUUAAUUCAAGCUCAGGCAGCUAUGCUCGUAGCAAGCUUUUCGUGCAAGCUAUGAAUUGAAGCAUGUAAUUUCCAUGUCCUGGAGUCUUCACUUGAAAACAAUGAUAUUUUUUCUCAUAUAUGCUAUGGUUUUUUAUCUAUGCGUACGUGCUACGGAAGCGAAUAAUGACGUCAUCUUAUUUUCAUAUGCUAUAUUUAUUUUUAUUUUAAUUUCCAUGUGCUGGAGGGAGAGCUUCUUCGCGCCUAUUUCUCACGAAGAACGCUCCUCACCUCAUUCCCUCUCUCCCUCAUCAUGCCCAAAUCCAACGACGGCGGCGCAGAUUCCGAGUCCGAGUCCGAGUCCGUCCCGCUGCUCGAUCUAUCGAAACCGUCAUCACCGAUCUCCUUCCCGAUCAAAUCUCUCCAAUAUUUAAAAUCACGUUCGUACUUCGACUCUUUCCACUUUCAGUUCAAUCGCUCCACAGUCCCUCUCCGGCGAGACUUACCUGAUCGGCCAAGGGUUUUAGUCUGCCACGAUAUGAAAGGAGGGUACGUAGACGACAAGUGGAUCCAAGGGUGUGAAAACGACGCCGGGUUUGCUAUUUGGCAUUGGUUUUUGAUGGAUGUGUUUGUUUACUUCUCUCACUCUCUGGUGACGAUUCCUCCUCCUUGCUGGACCAAUACAGCUCACAGGCAUGGCGUUAAGGUGAAGAUUAGGCAUUCUUGUGGAUACAUUAGUUUAUUAGGAUGUGUAGAUAUGAAUUGGGGUUAAGUAUUUACUUUCUUGUGUAUCUAUGGAAAUGUUAAAAAGGUGUUGGGGACUUUCAUCACGGAAUGGGAUGAAGGAAAAGCUACCUGCAAUGAGAUGCUUGCCACUAAGGAGUCUGCUCAGAUGUAUGCUGAGCGUUUGGCUGAGCUUGCUACUUCUCUAGGUUUCGAUGGAUGGCUGGUGAGUUUUGUCUUUUGGUAGAUACUUCUUGAUUCUUCUGUUCAUCUGCGUUUGAAGUGUAAGCUCUUACCUGCAGAUAAAUAUAGAGAACGAAAUAGAUAAAGAACAGGUUCCUAAUUUGAUGGAGUUCGUCAGCCAUCUAACAAAAGUCUUGCAUUUAUCCACUCCUGGGUCUUUGGUUAUAUGGUAAGUUGUGCACAAGUUCUUUCUUUUGGUAAAACCACUUUGAAUCUGAUCACUUCUUUUUGCAGGUACGAUAGUGUCACUGCUCAUGGCCAUCUUAAAUGGCAAGAUCAUUUGAAUGAAAAGAACAAACCUUUCUUUGACUUGUGUGAUGGUAUCUUCAUGAACUAUACAUGGAAGGUACCGUUCAAUUUCUUCAGUUUGUGUUUCUUCUAUAUGCAUUUGCCUGGUAUUUGAGUGGGUGAUGGUAUUUCAGGAGAGCUACCCAAAAUUAUCAGCUGAAGUUGCCGGGGACAGAAAAUAUGAUGUUUACAUGGGAAUUGAUGUCUUCGGUCGCGGCUCCUUUGGUGGUGGUCAAUGGACUGUAUGUUUUCAGAAACUCUUGUGAAAACCAACCAAUAAUUUUUCAUAUUAUUCUUCUUCAUUGUCUCAUUAAUAUCUAUAUAUAUGCUAGGUUGAUACUGCUCUUGAUUUGCUGAAGAGAAACAAUGUAUCAGCGGCCAUCUUCGCUCCUGGAUGGGUAUAUGAGACUGCACAACCACCUAAUUUCCACACAGCUCAGAAUAAGUAAUACUCUUCUUUUGCCUGUUUGAUUGUCAAAGAAAUUUUGCCAUUUUCUUUGUCAUCUUAUUAUCGUUCAUGCUUUUUUUCUUCAGGUGGUGGUCACUUGUUGAGAAGUCAUGGGGAAUAGUCCAAACAUAUCCACAAGUGUUGCCAUUUUACUCGGAUUUCAAUCAGGUCAAGUGAGAUUGAUUUCAACUUUCUUCCCAUCUUGUUAGAAUAACACCAGGGUAAAGUAUGCAUCGACUGUCUUGCCUAUGAUUUAUGUUCUGAAAAACUCUGUUCUUGCUUAUCCAGGGCUUUGGUAACCAUGUAUCACUCGAGGGUCGCCAGUUAUCUGAUGCUCCAUGGUACAACAUUUCUUGCCAGAGUCUUCAGGUUCAACCAUCUUUAUUGUCCACUCUUUAACUCCACAUAUAAUAUUUACACGAACCAAAAACUUAUUUUCUUGAUCUGGGUUUGUCUCUCCUCUCAUCUGAUUGUUGUGUUAUUCACGUCAGCCACUCCUCGAGUUCAAGGAAGACAACACUGAUAUCAUUCAGGUCACUAUUGAGUGAGUUCUGGCCCCUGAUACUAAAAAAAAUGUUUUUAACUUCUUGUUGAUUUAGAUACAUUUGUUUGCAAACGGAUAACGGUGAGCACAUGACUUUGUUUAGUACUAGAGAUGCAUCUUAUAACGGAGGAGGGAACAUCGUUUUUAAAGGAAGACUCGAGGGAGAUGUGUAUUUCACAGCAAGGCUCUUUAAACCUCUCCUUCAUCUUUCUUCUUCCCCCAUCACAGUCUCCUACUCUGUAAGUCCCUUGCUUUUAGAUACAUCACAUUAUGAGAUGAUCUUGUUUCUCUUCCUAAUGGAUGAUUUUGGAUUUGGUGCAGGUGAAAUCAGAUGAGACUUUUAAACUUGGACUCCUGCUUUCUUUCUCGUCCGCAUCACACGGGACUAAAUCCAUACUUGUGGCGCCACAAGAACCCAUCCCUAGAUUAGAUCACAUGUUCUUGAAGUGCCUCGUUACAUCAGAGCAGACUGUAUCAGAGUGGACGGUACACGAGACAAGCCUUGUCAUGGAUGAACACACACUAACUGAAAUCUCUUUCUUUUGCUACAGAACAGAGAACUCGACGAAGGCAUCAGAGUACGUUGCAUUGCUCGGUCACAUUUCAAUCAAAGAUCAUGUUCAGCUCCUCCAGCAAAACUUCGUUUCCUUACCUCCAGCAUCAUCAUGGGUCAUCGAGGCUCAUAACAUAGAGCUCAUGGUAGAUUCGGACGUGAAAGGGGUCAGCUUCGUGGUGCAACCGUGUGGUGAAGAUGGGUUAUGGAGAAAGCUUGAUGAUUCCCCUAACCUUCUUGUGGACUUGGAGGGUCUCUCGUAGGUUGCUGGAAACAAUGAAACGAUUCAUAAUGUAUAUUACAAAAUUACAUUAAUCUAGAAAGUGGGGAAAACAUGAUAAAAAAAACCUGAACUGAUAACAGAUCAUCAUCGUACAACUUCUUAAAAAUAUAAUUAAUGUACAUUAAUUUCCUUGUAUUUUAUAAUUAUAAAGAGAUCUUUUCCUUGUGCUAUACCGCAUACAAAUUUUUGUGCUAUACGGUAUUAUCUUCGUUUUGUUGUUAUGCCGUAUAUCACAAGCAUUUGAAAAGAUUUUAGGUGUCCAUCAAAGAUUGUCCCCUUGAGGAACUUAACUAUUCUAAACACAGAGCCAAAUCUGGGUUCUGCAAUGCUGGCACAAGUUCAGUGUUCAACGAACUAAGCCAUUAAUACAGUGUUCAAUCAACCUGCCUUUUAACUGAAAAUUCGAGUAGGCUUGAGCAGCAAUUCAUCGCCUGUAUGCUAAAGAGAUGUGAUGAUGAUAGAGAUAUUGAUACUGCGGUGAUUGCUUGCGGAUCUCUCAUUUGAUUUGCCACUGAGAUGGUUAAGAGAGAGGGAGACCACGUGCAUGCAUGUGUUUGCAUGCACGGGGAAUAUGGCAAAGCUAUCAGAGAAUUGAGUUCAUAAACUUGACUGCUCCAAAGUUAUUGGAGACGUUUAGAACAUCAGUUGGUGCUGGGAUCGUCUUACCAACUAGUCUCUUCCUAGUCGUCUCUUUUCUGUAUAUUUUAUUGGAUGAAAAGUGAGAUGAUUAUCAACAAAACUUGUUAUUAAGGUGGUGAGAAGUAACAGAUGUGUGAUUCACCAAUUUGAUUACAUCCACAGACAAAAAAAGACUUUAUUAUUGGAGACGACUUUCAGAAUUAAAUUAGAGUUAUAAGAACACAAGAUAUUUAUAGAACAUCUCUAAUCUUCAAAAAAAAAUCUUAGUGUACAUCAGACUCAUGGGUUUAGGUCUCAUAAUCGAUACAAUUUCCAAUGAUGUAAUGCAUUUAAUGCAUAUCAACAAAACCAUUGUUUAAUGGAGAUUCGCAAGAAGAAGUCUCCUGACAUCACCUUCCUGAUGGAAUCAAAAAACACAGAGGAAACAAUUAGAAAAGAACUCCACUGGCUGAAAGAAGAAAACAACUUCAUAGUUCCCCCACAUCUGGAGGUGGAGGCUUGAUUCUCAGUUGGAAGAAAGAUGUAGAUUUAACAGUCCUAUCAUCCUCCCAAAACUACAUAGACACGAGGAUCAUCUCAAAGGGAAAAUCAUUCCUAGCUACCUUUGUUUAUGGUGAACCAGACCACACAAAGAGAAAUGCAUUUUGGUCUACUCUAUCCUCUCUACACCCAAAACCGAAAGGCCCAUGGUUCCUAACUGGAGACUUCAACGAACUAAUCGACAAUACUGAGAAGAAAGGAGGCCCAAUAAGAGCGGAAGGUACCUUUUUGGAGCUUUUCGAACCUUCCUCUCAGAGAAUGAUCUGUUUGAUCUUAAACACUCUUGUAAUCUCUUCUCAUGGAGAGGUAAAAGAGGAGAUCACCUAGUGCGAUGCCGCCUUGACAGAUCCCUCAGCAACCCUGAAUGGACAGAGCUCUUCCCUUCUUGCCGUUGCCAAUACCUCAAGUUUGAAGCUUCUGAUCAUCGUCCAAUCCUCUCCUACCUAGACACCACCAAGAAGAAAGGUCGCAAUCUAUUUCGCUAUGACAGACGACUCAAAGAUUGUAAAGAGAUAAAAGCACUAGUAACAGAGAUUUGGACAACCUGUGCAUAUCUUGGGGUAGAAGCAAGACUGGCUCUAUGUAGAAGAGCAAUCUACAAGUGGUGUAAGCUGUUCCAUGAGAACAGCAGAAAAACAAUUGAGAAUCUCAGAGAGGAUCUAGAAUUUCAGAUGACAAGUGAGACUCCUAAUGGUGACAGGAUUAUAGAGAUAAAUAAGGGCUUCUUAAAAGCAUAUCAAUCCGAAGAAGCCUAUUGGAAACAAAGGAGUCGCCAACUCUGACUAACCUUAGGAGAUUCAAAUUCAGGGUAUUUUCAUGCCGUCACAAAAGCUAGAAAAGCAAAAAACAGAGUAACUGUCCUAGAGAAAGAUGAUGGAAUACCUCUUUUCGAAGAAGAUCAAAUUUCGGCUCGGUCUGCUCUUAUUACAACAAGAUGUUCACAGCAAAUCCCAGAGACGAUAAUGAGGACACAAUCUUCCGUGCUCUCAAACCUUGCGUGGCGCCAUAGUGGAAUGAAUCUCUCACCAGACACCCGUCCCCAGCAGAAAUUAAAGAUGCUCUCUUUGCAAUCCACGCAGACAAAGCACCUGGCCCAGACGACUUCUUCGCGAGCUUCUUCCACUUUAACUGGGACGUAAUUGGCCCCUCCAUUAUAGAAGAGAUCCAACGCUUCUUCUCCACAGGAAUUAUGCCCCCUAGUUUAAAUGAGACUCAUGUCAGACUUAUUCCUAAGAUCCAAACUGCAAAGAGAGUAGAAGAGUACAUACCUAUCGCCUUGUGUAACGUAUACUAUAAAGUGAUCUCCAAACUUCUCUUCCUGCACCUGAAACCAGUCCUUAAAGAGAUCAUCUCAGAGAACCAAUCUGCUUUUAUCCCUGGAAGAGCAAUAACAGACAACGUGUUAAUUACUCAUGAAGUGCUGCAGUAUCUGAAAACCUCACAAGCACAAAAACAAUGCUCAAUGGCGGUUAAAAUGGACAUGUCUAAAGCCUAUGACCGUGUUGAAUGGGAUUUCGUUGCACAAGUAAUGUCAAGACUAGGUUUUAGCAACAAGUGGACCAAUUGGGUAAUGCAAUGUAUCACAACAGUUUCCUACUCGUUCCUAAUAAAUGAUUCAGUCUACGGGAAAGUGCAACCUCACCGUGGCAUUAGGCAAGGAGACCCGAUCUCGCCCUAUCUGUUCAUCCUGUGUGGUGAAAUUCUUUCAGGCCUUUACAGAACAGCAGAGCUUCACGGAUCUAUGAGAGGAAUUCGCGUGGCCAGAGGUAGUCCCCACGUCAAUCAUCUUCUCUUCGCAGAUGAUACUAUGAUGUUCUGCAAUUUAUCAUCUGAAAGCUGCCUCUCUCUGCUCCAAAUCCUACAAGAAUACGAGAAAGUUUCAGGUCAAAAGGUCAAUAUAUCCAAAUCCUCUAUUACUUUCUCUGUCAAAACCCCACAAGAGGUUAAGAACUCAGCAAAACUCAUCUUGGGCAUUGAGAAAGAAGGAGGAGUGGGAAAAUAUUUAGGGCUUCCAGAACAUUUUGGAAGGAGGAAGAGGAACUUGUUUACCUCUAUAGUAGAUAGGAUCAGGCAGAGAGCCUCCAACUGGUCGACUCGAUUCCUAUCUCGAGCUGGCAAGCUCACUAUGCUCAAGCCUGUCCUGACUGCAAUACCCACCUACACCAUGUCAUGCUUCCAACUCCAGUAAGCCUCUGCAAUAGAAUCAAAUCUACACUUACUCGGUUCUGGUGGGAUCAUUCAGCAGAAAAGAAAAGCAUGUGUUGGGUGGCCCUGGACAAAUUAACCAAGCCAAAAGCCUCAGGGGGUUUAGGACCGAGAGAUAUUCAAUUAUUCAACCAAGCACUUUUGGGAAAAGUUGCCUGGAGAAUAUUAACCUCCCCCAACUGUUUACUUGCACGUGUUCUUACCGGGAAAUACUGCCAUAAGAAGAGCUUCCUAGACGCCCAACUCCCAGCAGUGUGUUCACAUGGUUGGAGGAGCAUCCUACAUGGCAGGGACCUACUCAAGGAGAACCUGAGAAAAGCAAUCGGCAACGGUCAGAAUACAAAAGUCUGGAAAGACACAUGGAUAUCAUUGGACAACAGUUCUAAGCCUAUGGGUCCAAUUCAUGAAUCUGCUCUCGAUAUGAGAGUCUCAGAUCUUCCCACUGAUGACUUACAAUGGAAAAAGGCGAGAAUUGAGCAAUACUUACCAGAUUUCAGCUCGCAGAUCCAAUGUAUAAAGCCAAGCAAGGUAGGGGCAGAGGACAUUUAUGUCUGACUCCCUCUUCAAACAUGAAUUUACUCAACCAAGUCUGGCUAUAACUCGCAUGCUCAACAAACUGUACCGUCGAAUCUCCACCUUCUAGCUAACCCCUCCUCACAGAAUGACCUGGAGUUUAAUUGGUUAAAAGAUGUUUGGUCAGCAAAAACGAACCCAAAGCUUAAGAUAUUCCUCUGGUCAAUCAUACAAGGGGCCUUACCAAUAGGCGCAAAGCUCAAAAGAAGGGGAAUGAUCUCCGCAGCUCACUGCCCCCGCUGCAACGAGGUAGAAACAUCAAUGCACACAUUCUUCCUCUGCCCCUUUGCUAAAGAAGUCUGGAACUACAUACCUCUCAAGUCACCAGUUCACAUAGCUGAGGACACUGAUUUCAGAUUGGAACUACUUCACUUCCGACAAGCAAUCUGUCUUCCCCCAACAGGAAUUCGAUCUCCCAUCCUCCCCUGGGUCUGCUGGUUCCUCUGGACGGCCAGAAACAAACUUAUUUUUGAAGACAAGAGCAGCCGUCCUGUGGAGAUAGCAACUAGAGGACUGUCAGCGGCUUUAGAAUGGGACGAAGCUCAAGAUGUGGAGAAAGAACAAAAGAGUAAUCACCUACCGCUCAAGGCCGCUCCAACACAGACGGAUCGAUCAAGCUACGAAAAUCCCUGCUUCGUAGACGCCGCGUGGGAUGUUUCCUCAAAGCAAGCAGGAGUCAUUUGAUGCAUACUCCUAUCAAGUAUCAACAAAACCAUCCAUACAUCUUUUGUUUUGCUUUUGUUAAAAAGACAGAAUAGCUACUGGCCAUAUAUUGAAGAAACAAGAAAACGAUCGAGCAAAGUCUGGGUUUUUCCUUACGAUCUCGCCCUGACUCCUGAGGAAUAUUAGUUGAAUAUUUAAUGUACUCACUAUCUAUGAUAGGCUCGAUCGUGAGUAUAUUCACGAGGAAGAGUUGAUUCUUCUGUCAUGAGGAAUGCUCUCACUAUUAUUUGAUUUCAAGAAGAUUGAUAUUUUGUUUAUUUUGAUUGAUUCUUAGAAAAGAGUUGAUUCUUUUUGUCAUGUUUGCAUAUAUUUCUCAUUUUGGAAGUCAUAAGGAAUAAACCAAAAAUAAGACUGUUCGCCGUUGAUUUUUCUUAAAAACGUUGAUGUUUUUUUUUAUUCUUACUAAAAAGAUUCAUUCAAUUAAGUCAUUUUGGUCUAGUGGUAAAGAAGUGCCGCUAAAGCUUUCGCCAUGGAUUUUUUUUUUAUUAAGUCAUUUCGGACUUUUCUCUUGGUCUUGUCUCAAGCAAGUACCCGAGCUGUCUACGGGGUUAGGUGGCUUAACGUUAUAGAACCGUCUCUCAGCGAAGCCAUCCAGGAACAAAAUGGUGUGGCGAGAUCAUCUACAGAAGCGGAGUAUCGUGCAGUUGCAAACGCAACAUCAGAAAUUAUAUGGAUUUGCAGUCUUCUCUCUGAGCUUGGGGUCUCGCUUCCAUCAGCUCCAGUCGUCUUCUGCGACAAUGUAGGAGCAACAUUCCUCUGUGCUAAUCCGAUAUUCCAUUCUCGCAUGAAACACAUCGCCAUUGACUAUCACUUUGUUCGGGGACAAGUACAACGCGGAGCUCUAACUGUUUCACAUGUCAACACUCGUGAUCAGUUAGCGGAUGCAUUAACGAAACCACUCACUCGAGCUCGCUUCUUGGAACUGCGGAACAAGCUUGGCGUGGCACCCACGCUGCAGCUUGAGAGGGUGUGUAAGAGAGAUACUAUAAAGAUCUCCUCUCAACUAUAGUAUAUACACAUUCCUCUGUUUUAGGAAAUGUUAGUUAUUAUCUAACUUAGUCUCCAAGACUAAACUCUGUAUAUAAACCUCUAUUGUACAUUACGUUCAAGAUAUCAAAAUACAUUUCCUAUACCCUAAAUAAGAUAAGUAAACACACAAAAAAGAGCAUUGCUCUAACUUAAAACCUAGUGAGUAAGAAUAAUAACAGUUUUCUCCAAUUUCGAUGAUCUCUCAGAUCCAACCAUUGCUCCCUUGCUCAACCACAGUAUAGCUUCUCCACAAUCUAAUCCCUACAAAUUCUUAUCUGUACAGCAACAACAACAACGCACAAUUCACGUUUUCAGUAACUCAUUUGAGCAGAUGCUCAAAGUUAUGGUUCCAAAUCAACAAUCUGAGACCUCACAAGGUAACAUAGAGUUUCAAUCUUCAAAAUCACAUAAGAAUGAAAAUUCUAACCAUAUAUUCACAAUUGCUUGGCAGAAACAGAGACCAAGAAAGUUCCCAUCCUCUACUUCGCGCCUUCGAUCCUCUCGUACACCUCUCCCAACUUCAAAAUUGCUCUCACCAGCUCCGUACACGAAGAUCCUUCACCUUCACUCGGAUCCACCUCCUCCACUCUCCGAUGCUUCCUCACCACAAACCCGCAGUCACCAGCGUCAUCAUCAUUGUCUAAUGUAGGAAACCAAAUAUGCAAAAUCAAAUACUUACUUCUGUCCUUUGUAAAAGAAACUUAGAUUAACUCUAAAAGUAAGGCAAGUCUCAGUCUGCCUCAAAAUCAAUGUGACAUAGUCUGCUCCAAAUUUUGAAACUCUCUUCAAAUUUUUUUGCUUCCUGUAAUGUCUACCCGCUGUGUUGCUUUUUUGGCUGUAUAUGUAACAUGCAAGGCUUUUAGGAGCUUGUGAUGAACAGAGGAAAACAGUUAACAACCUUGUUGUUCAUUGGCAUUGUAAACAAUUUGUUGAACUCAUCAAAAGAUUCUUAAGCUCCACAAUUUGUUUAAUUUAGCUGGUUUCGUUGAUGUUCCUUCUCGUACGUACUUAUCGUACCUUCCAACAAGAUUUGUCUACACUUCUCUGUUUUUGAUCUUCAUCUGCUUUUAGACCUCUAGAGGUCCUGACAAAAUCUAUUGGCUGACUAAUAAUAAUCUUAUUGUAGCAGCAGUUAGUAUACUUAAGUUAGACAACGAUUCGAGUCUUGAAGAGCGAGGUCAUGCUGAGAAGUUUAUGGAGUACCAGGUAUAGUUUCAAGAAUCUUUGACGAAUAUUAUGCUCUUGAUGAUCUCUUACUCUUUGACGAAUCAGCUAUGGAGCUUGCCCUAUCUUUGGAGAAACUCACUAAUUAUGAAAAGCUUCUCAUGUUGCAAAGUGUAAGUACCUUUUAUUGCAUCAUCAUUGAGUGGUAAUGCUGAGCCUUACGCAAAACAAUCCACUACCAAUUAAAUUGGUAAAAACAGGGUCGAAGCUAUCAAAGAUUGUCUCCUUGAGUAGCCUCACGAAUUCUAAAACAGAGCAAAAACUGGGUUCUGCAAUAAACAUAUUGAUUCACCGAGUUUGGUUACAUCUACAGACAAAACAAAAUUAUUAUUGGAGACGAUUUUCAGAAUUAAAUUAGUUAUUAGAAUUAGUUAGAACACAAGAUAUAUAUAGAAUAUCUCUAAUCUUGAAAGAUCUUAGUGUGCAUCAGACUCAUGGGUUUAGGUCUCACAAUCGACACAACUUCCAAUGAUGUAAUGCAUUUGAUGCAUAUCAGCAAAACCAUCGAUCCAUCUUUUGUUUUAUUUUUGUUAUAAGAGAGAAUAGCUACUGGCCAUAUAUUGAAGAAACAAGAACACGAUCGAGCAAAGUCUGGGGUUUUCCUUACCAUCUCGCCCUGAGGAAUACUAGUUGAAUAAUGUACUCACGAUGAUAUGGCUCGAUCAUAAGUAGAUUCACGAGAAAGAGUUGGUUCUUCUGUCAUGAAGCAUGUACUCACUAUUUAUUUGAUUUCAAGCAGGUUAAUAUUUUGUUCAUUUUGAUUGAUUCUUAGAAAAUAUUUGAUUUUUUUUUUGUCAUGUUUGCAUAUAUUUCUCAUUAUGAAAGUUAUGAGGAAUAAACCAAAAAUAAGACUUUUCUCCGUUGAUUUUUCUUGAAAACGUUGAUGUUUGUUUUUAUUCUUAUUUUUUAAAAAGAGAUUCUUUCUUAUUUUGAAAUCCCAUCAAAAUUAAACUAGUUUAGCAGUUAUCUCAAUUAGUUCUUUUUUUAAUUAAAGCAAGAGGAAUGUCAUAAAAUCCUGAUUUUUUAAAAAGAUAAAACAUUUACUAUCAAAUCGAAAGAUUACAAUAUAUGCAAAUGCAGGGGUCUCGUAAACGUUAGUUUUUAGGUCAAUAUGCAUGCGCGUCUUGUAAACGUUAAUUUAACUCCAAACAUACACCUAAGCAAAAUAAGACUUCGUAAAUUACGUCUUCUAUGGUGUGGACAGUUUUUUUUUUUUAAAAAUACUUGUAAUUAGUAAAGGGGACCAAUAUGCGCGGAAAUUUGACCUAAUAGUUUUCUCUCUGGCCCGAUAAUCGAGGUGCCGUCUCAACCGUUUCACUCCGACGCCGGUAGAGCCAUGGCUCGCCGGCGUCGGGCGUUUCAACCUCCGCGUCGUCCUCUUUCUUUUCGUAUCUGUUCAAGCUCAAGAUCCCGUGCUCUGUUCACUGUUCAUAUGACCCUUUCUUGGUCGAAGUUGUCUUCCAUUUCGUAUUUUUCCGGGGGCUCCCGACUACAGUUUUCACUCCCCUCCUCUACUCAACGCCAUCAACGCCAUAGCUCUGCUGGUCCGGCUUCCGUCAAGAAUCAGAUCUGUGAGGCUCAAUCUUCCUCUCCUCCCUACGUGUCUCCUCGGCUAGAAAGCCCCCUCCGACAUUCGUCUUCCAUACCACCACAAGUCCAACUUCAAGCUUCGGCUUCCGACGUCUACAAACCCGGUGUCCGUGGGGCUCAACAAUUAACUCGGAUUUUAGAUCUGGAAUUUUGUCAGUUGUCUCGGUUGUGUUCACCUUAUGUCUCCUCUAUCACCACUGUCGCUGGACUUCCUACUCCGCUAUCCAUUGUCAUCAUCUCAACCAUAUCAGUUAAACAUCGCCGCUUCUUUGCUCCGCCGUGAUUCCUCGCAGUUCAUCGGGUUCUUUGACCGAGGAAGGCUGAGUCAUUGUGUUCAUGAGAUGGGCUACUUUCAUUUUGCAGUGAGCUUGACAAGCCCAAUAAAGCUCCAAGGCUCCCAUCUCUUCCUAGCAGUUUCACAGCCCACUUUGAUGUGGGGUGGAUUGGUCUCCUUGACUAAUCUUCUAAAAAUGUUUGGUGGAUUCACUAGCGUUUUUACAGAGACAUAUAUACACACAAAGUUUCAUCUCUCUUGUUCGAAGAGUAGCCUUUCUUUCCAUUUACCGGUGGGUUCACCGGGACCAUCAUGUUCAUCCUUUGCUUCCUUUUUAAGGAGUACUUUCCCUCCAAUCUUGUGGAGGUGUUUGUCCAUAUCUAUAACCGUCUUGCUAUCUUGUGGAGCGGUCCGUUCGGGGCCUGAAGAUGCAGCGGGAUUCGUUUCGACGAGUUUCCGAGGUGUGGAUUGGAUGUCAACUUCACAAUUUAAGCUGACUAUUUCUCUGCUGUCCGACCAUGUCGUGAAAGCUACACUGACGCAUUCAAGCACCGUCUUGAGUUCGCUGUCAUCUUCUUCUUUUGAAGACCUAUCCUUUUUAUCUUAUGUUGGUGUAGUUUAUCUUUUCAAUUAAAGCGGAUGGAUAAUUCCCUCUAUUAUUUGUAAUCAAGCAACUUGAACUUAAUGAAAAAGUUGUGUUUCGAAAAAAAAAGAACGAUUUUGCUUUCGACGUGAUGAAUAUUGGAUUUAUCUCUCUGGAUAUUUUUUGUGUGGAAUAAAAACGAAGUCUAUUAUUGCGCUAUAAAGAGAUGGGCAUAGAAGCAUGUUACUCAUCACCAAUUUCCCUUUUCAUUUCAAAGUUAAAUAAGCUUAAAGAAGAAUGAAAGGCUUUUGGAACAUAACGAGUACCAUUUCUCUUACUCUUUCUAUACUUUUCUUAUUCGGCUACAGUUAUGAGGACGUGUCUACGGUUCUUAAUACGCACUUGUGUCGUCCGGAACAAAGGGAUGCACUUCUCCAAUUCAAGACCGAGUUCGAGGUUCUAAACUCUUCCUUUGCUUAUGGUUGUUAUGAUAUCAAUGAUGAUAUACUAGUGUCUCAUGGGAAGACGGACUCAUGGGCGAAUAACAGCGACUGCUGUAAUUGGGAGGGUAUCACGUGCGAUGCCAAAUCCGGUGAAGUGAUCGAGCUAGACCUUAGUUGCAGCUACCUACGUGGCACGUUUCAUUCCAAUAGCAGUCUUCAAAGCCUUCAUUCUCUAACCACUCUAAACCUUUCACGUAAUGAUUUCAAUGGUCAAAUAAUGUCUUCAAUUGGAAACCUUUCUCAUAUCACCUCUCUCGACCUUUCACGUAAUCGUUUUUCGGGUCCACUUCCAUCUUCGAUUGGAAAUCUUUCUCAUCUCACCAAUCUUAACCUUCGUUUGAAUCAAAUUUCGGGCAAGAUUCCAUCUUCUAUUGGAAAUCUUUAUAACCUCACUUAUUGUUGGAAAUCUUUAUAACCUCAAAUUGAGCCUAUUGGACCUUUCUAGGAAUGAUAUUGUUGGAGAAAUCCCAUCUUCUUUUGGCAAUCUAAACCAGUUGACCAGCUUAGAUGUUUUUCUCAAUAGGCUCAAUGGAAGCUUUCCCAUUGCACUACUGAAUUUGACAAAUUUGUCAUCUUUAGAACUCAGCUACAAUCAGUUCACAGGAACAAUUCCUCAUAACAUCACUUCACUAUCCAAAUUGACGACCUUUGAUGCAAGUAACAACGCUUUCACUGGGACCCUGCCUUCUUCUCUCUUCACCAUUCCUUCUAUUGAAUAUGUUAUAUUGUCUGAUAACCAACUCAACGGUAUUCUUGAGCUUGGGAAUAUAUCUUCACCACCUAAGCUGCAAAGGUUAGACGUUAACAGAAACAACUUGAGAGGGCCAAUCCCGGCCACAAUAUCCAAAUUUACCAACCUUGUCGACCUUCGCCUUUCCCACUACAAUGCACAAGGUCCAGUUGACUUUAGUAUCUUCUCGCAUCUCAAGUGGCUCGAACUUCUUGACCUAUUCUAUUUGAACACGACCACUACGAUUGACUUGAAUGAUAUCUUGUCAUAGUUUAAGAGGCUCACUGGGCUGGUUCUCUCAGGCAACCAUGUUUCAGCCACAAACAAGAGUCCAGUUUCAGAUACCCCUUUGCGAUUCUUGAAUACGUUGCAUUUGUCAGGCUGUGGUAUCACCGAGAUUCCGGAAUUUGCAAGAACGCAAAAUAUGCCUGGCUGGUUAUGGACGCUACCAAAUCUGUUUUACCUGGAUCUUUCCAACAACACUUUCACUGGCUUCCAAAACUCAACUACAGUUUCACCUUCAAGGCUAUAUAGCAUAAACGUGCUUGCCUCAGACAACAAUUUCACGGGAAAUAUCCCCUCUUUCAUAUGCGAUUUGCCCACUUUAUACAUUCUUGAUUUAUCAAACAAUAACUUCAGUGGUUUAAUCCCUCGCUGUUUGGGAAAUCUCAAGCUUACUCUUGAAGUUCUAAACCUUCGUCAAAAUCGUCUUCAUGGAGGUCUUCCGGAGAAUAUAUUUGAAAGCUUAAUAACGCUUGACGUCGGUCAUAAUCAACUGACGGGAAAGCUUCCAAGAUCUUUGAUCCAUUCCCCUUUUCUUGAAGUUCUGAACGUGGAAAGCAACAUAAUCAAUGAUACGUUUCCGUUUUGGUUGAGUUCUCUACCACGUUUAACAAUUCUUGUGUUAAGCUCCAAUGCCUUCCAUGGACCGAUAUAUCACAUAAUUACUUCAAUGGAACUUUGUCAUCUGACUACUUUGAGAGGUGGGGUGCUAUGUCAUCACUUGAGUCUACAGUUUAUUAUGAUAAGUACGGAAAGUACAUGAGCGAUAAUUCUUACUUUGACUCAAUGGUUUUGAUGAAUAAAGGGUUAGUGAUGGAGCUACCAUUUAUCCCAAAAGUCUACACAGCACUCGAAUUUUCAGGAAACAAACUUGAAGGAGAGAUCCUAAGGUCCAUUGGUUUAUUGAAAGAGCUUCUUGUGCUCAACUUGUCGAACAAUGCUUUCACUGGCCACAUCCCUUCAACUCUGGGAAACCUGACAGCUCUUGAGUCAUUGGACGUUUCCCAAAACCAGCUUUCAGGAGAAAUUCCGCAAGAGCUAGGGGAACUCUCAUUCCUUUCUUACAUGAACUUCUCUCAUAACCAGCUUGCGGGUCUAGUACCAGGAGGCACUCAGUUUCGAAGGCUGAAUUGCACUUCCUUUGAGGGGAACCAGGGACUUUUUGGCCCUUCUCUUGACGAAAUUUGCAUAGAUAUUCACAUGCUGAGACCACAUGAAACGCCAGAAUCAGAGGAAGAAGAGGAAGAGGAGGUGUUGAGUUGGAUAGCAGCUGCAAUAGGAGUCAUACCUGGUAUUGCGUUUGGAUGGGUGAUUGGAUACAUACUUUUUUCCUACAAACCAGAGUGGUUCAUGAACCCUUUUGCCCGAAACAAGCGCAGAAUCAGCAGCACCACAACUCAUUAAAAAGGUAAUUUUCCAGAGGUUUAAAUCAACUUGUUAGCAAACACUGGUACAAAUAAAAAUAUUAUAGUGAAGUCACCUGAAUAAACCUUCUUCUUUUUGGUCUUUCAGGUCUUUUAUAAGCUACCUAAGGAAUCUGGAAGAAGAAAUCCAAAGGAACCAUUAUGUCUAUCCGUAUCAAAUAAGAUUUGGGGUAUCGUUUCUGGUUUAGCUUGGUGUUUUCUCAUUACUCUGUUUUUUUUCUUUUUUGUUUUUUUACUUUGUUCCUCUGGUACUGUUUCCGUUUUAGCUUGGCGCGUAUUUUCUCUACAUCUCUGUUUUUUACUUUUCAGCAAACUUCUUUUUUCUCUGUAAUUGAACAACUAUGUUUCUUACGCUAAAAAUUAUAUGCACAAUAAAAAAUGUGUAUCUUUUCCCCUUUCCUGCAUCUAACAUCAUCUGUAAAGACGUGAGAUGAGAAAAUAAACAGAAGAUCCAGAUCAACCCUAUAAACUAUUGAAGUUAAACUUGAUUUUGGGCUAUCCUUAAUUAUGGGUUUCAAUAAUCUUAUUUGGCUAAACCCAAAGUUAAGUUAAGGUUCUAGAAUCUCUUUAGAAAAAUCAUAAAAGAUUAUCACCUGCUCAAGUGUUCGCCUCGGUGUGUUGGAUCUCUCAGGAAACCAUGUUUCAGCCACAAACAAGAGUCCAGUUCCCGUUUCCCCUUUGUUGUAUCAGUUGCACUUGUCGGGCUGCGGUAUCACCAAGCUUCCGGAGUUUGUAAGAUUGAAAAAUUUGGACAGUCUAGACAUUUCCAACAAUAAAAUCAAAGGGCAAAUGCCUGGCUGGUUAUGGACGCUACCAAAUCUUACUUACCUGGAUCUUUCCAACAACACUUUCACUGGCUUCGGAAACUCAAUGAAACAUGGGCUAUCUAUGGGAAAAUUGUUUGCCUCCAACAACAAUUUCACAGGAAAUAUUCCCUCAUUCAUAUGCGAUCUGCGUGGUUUAUCCAUUCUUGAUUUAUCAAACAACAACUUCAGUGGUGUAAUCCCUCCUUGUAUGGAAAAUCUCUAUCUGACAGUUCUAAGCCUUCGUCAAAAUCGUCUCCAUGGAGGUCUUCCAGAGAAUAUAUGUCAAUUCUCAACAACGCUUGAUGUCGGUCAUAACAAACUGACAGGGAAGCUUCCAAAAUCUUUGAUCAAUUCCUCUUUUCUUGAAGUUCUGAACGUGGAAAGCAACAUUAUCAAUGAUACGUUUCCAUUUUGGUUGAGUUCUCUACCACAACUAAAAAUUCUUGUGUUACGCUCUAAUGCCUUCCAUGGACCGAUACAUUAUACUUCGUUCCCUAAAUUGCAAAUCGUCGACAUAUCCCACAAUCACUUCAAUGGAUCUUUGUCAUCAGACUACUUUGUGAAGUGGAGUGCUAUGUCAUCAUUGGGGGACAAUUAUGAUCAGCGGUUUGACAAGUACAUGGGGGAUUCCUAUUACCAUGAUUCAAUGGUGUUGAUGAACAAAGGUUUAGAGAUGGAGCUAGUACGUAUCCUAAAGAUCUACACAGCACUCGACUUUUCAGGAAACAAAUUUGAAGGAGAGAUCCCAAGGUCCAUUGGUCUAUUGAAAGAGCUCCAUGUGCUCAACUUGUCCAACAAUGCUUUCACCGGCCACAUCCCUUCAUCUAUGGGAAACCUGACGGCUCUUGAGUCACUAGACGUUUCCCAAAACCAGCUUUCAGGAGAAAUUCCGCUAGAGCUAGGGGAACUCUCAUUCCUUUCCUACAUGAACUUCUCUCAUAACAAGCUCACUGGUCUAGUACCCGGAAGCACUCAGUUUCGAAGGGUGAAUUGCACUUCCUUUGAGGAUAAUCCGGGACUUUUUGGCCCUUCUCUUGACGAAGUUUGCAGAGAUAUCCACAUGCCAACACCGCAUGAAACACCAGAAUCAGAGGAAGAAGAAGAGGAAGAGGUGUUGAGUUGGAUAGCAGCUGUAAUAGGAGUAAUACCUGGUAUUGCCUUUGGAUGGGUGAUUGGAUACAUACUUUUUUCCUACAAACCAGAGUGGUUCAUCAACCCUUUUGUCCUAAACAAAAGCAGACGCAACCGCACCACAACUCAUUAAAAAGGUAAUUUUCAAGAGUUUUAAAUCAACUUGUUAGCAAACACUGGAAGAAACAAAAAUAUUAUAGUCAAAUCACCUGAAUAAGCCUUCUUCUUCUUUUUUUGUACAGAUCUUUUAUAGCCUGCCUGAGGAAUCUGAAAGAAGAAAUACAAAGGAACCACUAUGUCUAUCCGUAUCAAAUAAGAUUUGGGGUAUCGUUUCUGGUUUUGCUUGGUGUUUUUCUCAUUACUCUGCUUUUUUACUUUUUUUAGCAAACUUCUUUGUUCCUCUGGUACUGUUUCCGUUUUAGCUUGGUGUGUUUUUUCUCUAUCUCUCUUUUUUACGUUUUAGCAAACUUCUUUGUUUCUCUGUAAUUGAACAACAACUAUGUUUCUUACGCUGAAAAUUACAAGCACAAAGACAUGCAUUUUUCCCCUCUUCAGUAUCUAAAACAUCAACUGUGUAGACUUGAGAUGAGGAAUAAACAGAUGAUCCAGAUAAAAGCUAUAAUCAACACAGGGUUUAGAAAAGGAUGUACAUAUUAUAUAUGGAUAUUUCGAUUGUUCAUAUCAAUGAGACACAUUAAUUCAUAGAAACUAUAGACUUUGCAAAUAUAAUUAUCAAGAUUCCAUUUUGUGUAUAUACAAAGUUCAAAUGGUUUUAAGCUUAUGAUUUUCGAAUGUGACAAUACAAAAAAAAAAAAAAAAAGUUUGCGUUGAUUUAUCUUGUGAUUGGUAAUAUUCUCAUUGAUAAUGAAUGAUGAGUAGAAGAGGAAGAGAAAUGGCUAGUAAACGGGUCUUGUUUUCUCCAUGUCCACACUUCCUUGUUCCUAAUUCUUUUUUUUUUUUUGAAUGAAUGUAAAAUUUUAUUCAAUCAAAACUUUGUACAUCAAGUGCUUCUGUUGUGUUUGUAAGAAACUUCUAUACUCUAGAUUCUAUGGAAAAAAAACCCCUUCAUGGUGGUCUCUCUCUUGUUGCAAACCAAGUGGUCAAGCUCUCCUCAAGAUACUUUUGCCCCAGCUCCUUGACUGAGAGUAGCUUGAGUCUGAUUGUUUUAUCUACAAACUUGGUGAUGACAUUCACAGUUUGUGGCUGUUCUCCAUGUCUACGGGCAUUUAGCUCUCUCCACAGCGCAUGUACCGUAGCUUGAAAGGUGUAGCGGAUAAGGAACUUCUUCGUCGGUGGCAGGCUUGUACGUUGGAGAUGAUCUCUACAACGUCAUUCCAAGAUUUGUAGAGAAUCCCACCAGCCAGUGAUUUCCAGAUUUGUCUUGAGUAGUUGCAGCUGAAGAAGAGAUGGUGGCAGGUUUCAUCAGCUGCAUCACAGAGCACACAGGCUGUGUUUGCUGUAGCGUUCCACCGGUUUAUCCUAUCACAUGUCUCCAUUCCUAAGCGCUUCUAAUUCAUUCUCAAUCUCAUUCAGACGGCUCUCACGGUGUCGUCUUCUUCGGUGCUUACUCAGGACAUCUGCAACAACAGCCUUAUCAGAUAUGCCCAGAGCAAUGCACCCUCGUUCUCCUAUCACAUCCUUCAAGCAGCCAAGCUUCGACCACGAGUCAUACCAGAAGGAGGUUUCUCUUCCAUUCCUCACUUCUCUUCUGAAAAACUGUUUCGCAAGAUCGCCUAGUUUCAGUAAUUUAUGCCAUACCCAUGAUUUGAGUUCAUACUCACUGACCAGAACGAUCCCUUUCGAAUCAGAUAACACUGCACCCACCGGACCCAAAGCGAAUUUCGAGAGGACAGAAUUCUCCAUAUUAGUUUUAAGGCGUGAACUGUGUUUACCUCCUUAAGAGGUCUCAGACUCAGUCCUCCUUCUUGUUUGUAAUUCAACCUUUGAUUGUUUGAUUAAAUAUGUAUAUUCUUAAAUUAACAAUAACCAAAUAUAUAUAUAUACUCAACUAAAAUUUGGGUUUAACGAUCAUUGUCCAUUUUAUAAGAAAAUUCCUCUUGGAUCUUUCUUUUUAUAUUUUUCUCGACUGACUUUUUAAUCGAAUCCAAGUCUUGCUUCUCUUUGUUUUGGUGUCCACGAUCUCAAAAAAGAAACAGCCAACUGAUUGGUCACUUUCACAAUCCCUCUGGUACGUUAUCCUUUGAUUUUUCAACAUUAUACUUAAAGCUCAAUACCAAAAUCUCAAAGAUAAGCCACUACAUGAUCAUGAUGUGUGUGACCUACGAGCUUGGACUCGAACCCACGAGCCAAUCAUGUAAGUAGCAAUGAAAAGAUCAAGCCAACACAAAUGAUGAAUAGGCCCAUGCCUUGCCCCCAUUCUGUUCCCUUCUUUAUUAAUCUACAGAAACAAAAUCUUCUUCAGAAGAAGAUGCGUGAGCUUUCAACACGAUAAAGAUUGAUGCAAAGUCAUAUAAGGAAACAGCCAAAUCAAUAGCUUGGUGGGUUUGGUCUUCCAAAAGUAAAUUAUGGAAGAACAUGAAUGUCUCUGAUGUACAUUGUCCUGGAAAGAGAACUCUGAGACCUGAUUACGCAAAAGACUAAUUGCUGAUCACAAAAAAAGGAGAAGAGAACGCUAUUUGGAACUGCAGGCAUUGAUACACAAACCAUAAUACAUUAAACACUUGACAAAAGUACAUGCUGAUAUGUCUGUCAGAUUACUACAAGAGUUUCUUUCACCAAUCUCCUUUGCUACCAAUGUACCCUAAAUAAGAUAAGUAAACACAAAAAAAAAAAAGCAUUGCUCUAACAUGAAACCUAGUGAGUAAGAAUAAUAACAGUUUCUCCAAUCUCCAUGACCUCACAGAUCCAACCUGAUACAGAUAUUCAAGUGGUGCGGGACACGUCAUCAGCCACGUCAGAAGAGAGAGAGGACGCAAGAAGAAGUUUGUUACGAUUUCAAUUAAAAAGAGAGGGACGCUUUCAUUUUCAUUCAUUGGAGUAGUAUGAACAUUUUCUUUUCUUUUCUUUUCUACUUUCCUGGGAAAUCCAGUGAUUGAGUCGCUAGUCUGACUAGUUGCUUAACAUUGUAUUUCUUGAAUCGGUGUUUCCUGAACAUUGGAUUCUUCUUUCCUAUUCAUAAAUACAAAUACAAAUUAUUCUAUCAAAGGUAUCAGAGCUUCGACGCUUCUCGGCGAUGGCGGAAACACGAGCUCAAACUAUGAUGAAGGAAGCAACAGCUCGCGGUAUAGAAGAAAGCUUGGGAUCGCGAAUCGAUCACAUGCUGGAGAGAACACAUCAAUUAGAGGUUACGGUGGCGGAUCAGAAUACGAAGAUGGAUAAGAAUAUCGCAGAUAUGUUCGAAGCGAUUCGCUUGAUCCAAGGGAGCAAACAUCAGGCGUCGACAAGUAAUGAACAAAACACUGGUAGAGGAUCGCCGGUAGUUUCUCAUACUCCGAUCCUUCCACACGGUUCAAACGAGAUGGCGAGAGGCAGAUCUGGUUUUCCGUACAAUUACGCAGGUAUCACUCGUAUGGCGAAAUUGGAUUUUCCCAGAUUUGAUGGUGAACGCUUGAAGGAAUGGUUAUCUAAAGUAGAACAGCUAUUUGUGAUGGAUAAUACACCUGAGGAGUUGAAAGUGGGUUUAGCAUCGAUACAUUUCGAUGGUCUAGCCUCUACUUGGCAUCAGGCGGUGAUUCAAUCUGAGAUAAGUCAUGAUAUCCUUCGGGAUUGGCCGUUCUACAAGGAGUUGUUGAAAGAGAGAUUUGAGGAAGUUUUAGAUGAUCCUAUUGCAGAGUUGAAAGCAUUGCAGGAAACUGAUGGUAUUGUUGACUAUCAUGGGAAGUUUGAGCUUAUCAGAACGAGAGUCAAGCUUUCUGAGGACUACUUAGUCAGUGCAUAUCUUGCAGGACUGAGAGUUGAUACGCAAAUGCACAUCAGGAUGUUUCAACCACAAACAGUCCGUCAAUGCUUAAUGUUGGGUCGUCUAUAUGAAAAGGCACAUCCAAAGAAGGUCGUUUCUCAAGGGUGGGUGCCUCAGAAGGGUGGAAUGCAGAGUAGAGGGUUAUUACCAGUAAAGAAGGAUACAGAAGCAAAAAUGGAAUUUCAGAAAGUAGCAGAUAAACUUCCUGAUAAGCCAAGACCGUUUCUCUCACAAGAGGAAAUGAGCAAGAGGAGAGCUGCCGGUCUUUGCUACUUCUGUGAUGAGAAAUAUUCACCAGGCCACUACUUGAAACAUAAAAAAACACAACUGUUUAUGCUUGAGUGUGAGGAAGAGGAGGAAGUGUUGCAGAAUGAAGUGGAGUUGAGUGACGAAGUAGAAUCAGAGGUUGCUCAUAUCUCUGUUAAUGCAGUAGCAGGCAUUUCUGAUUAUCAAACGAUGAGAGUGAAAGGAAUUCAUGGAAAACGUUCAUUAUUCAUUCUCAUUGACUCUGGUUCAACUCAUAAUUUCAUGGAUGCAUUGGUAGCUGAGAAAUUGGGUUGUGAGUUGAAGCCAACUGGUAUUUCAAGAGUUGCAGUGGCUGAUGGUAGGAAGUUGGGAGUGAGUAAUAAGAUUGAUGACUUUCACUGGAAUUUUCAGAGUAUCUCUUUCAAAGCUGAUUUUAUGGUCAUACCUUUGGGAGGUUGUGAUAUGGUUCUUGGAGUUCAGUGGUUACAACAAUGGGGACCUAUCACGUGGGACUUUCAGAAUCUGACAAUGCAGUUUAAGAUGGGGAGGAAGGGCGUUUUGUUACAUGGGAUUAAAGAUGGUUCUGUUCGAGAAGUGAAGUCAGCUAAGCUGAACAGAUUGAGAGAAUCCGAGGUUCAGUUAGCAAUGAUAUCGGUGCAGCGAAUUGAUACUGAAUUACAAGCGUCUGCAUACACUAUGGAGAUGCAGAAUACCAACACAGAGAAAUUAUAUCCUGGUAUUUCAAACGCUUUACAAGAGUUUGAAGAUAUUUUUGAGGAACCAAAAGCUCUACCUCCUUUUCGCAAGAAUCAUGACCAUAAGAUACCACUGCUGGAAGGGUCUAAUCCGAUUAAUCAGCGGCCAUACCGGUAUGCAGUGUAUCAAAAAAAUGAAAUAGACAAGCUGGUUCAAGAGUUAUUGGAUGCAGGGACUAUUCAACCUAGUUCAAGCUCAUAUGCUUCUCCUGUGGUUUUGGUUAAGAAGAAGGAUGGGUCUUGGAGGUUAUGUGUUGAUUACCGUGGCCUGAAUGGGAUGACAGUGAAGGAUCGUUUUCCUAUUCCGUUAAUAGCAGAUUUAAUGGAUGAACUGGGAGGAUCAAAAGUGUAUUCCAAGAUUGACUUACGUGCAGGCUACCAUCAAGUGAGGAUGAACACAGAUGAUAUUCAUAAAACUGCUUUUAAAACUCACAGUGGCCAUUAUGAAUAUCUGGUGAUGCCUUUUGGUCUCACAAAUGCACCUGCUACAUUCCAAGGUCUAAUGAACACAGUGUUUAAAAGUCUCUUAAGGAAGUGUGUUUUGAUCUUCUUUGAUGAUAUAUUGGUGUAUAGUUCAUCAAUGGAAGAGCAUGAAAAGCAUUUGAAAAGCGUUUUUGCAUUAAUGAGAAGUAACAAGCUCUUUGCGAAGAUGAGUAAAUGCGCCUUUGCCACUGACAGAGUUGAGUAUUUGGGGCAUUACAUACAGGCAGAAGGAAUUUCAACUGAUCCUAAUAAGAUCAAGGCUGUUGCAGAGUGGGCUAUUCCGGUAUCUUUGAAGCAGUUACGGGGGUUUCUCGGUCUAGCAGGGUAUUACAGAAGCUAUGUCAAGAGUUUUGGUAUUAUUGCUAGACCCUUAACAGCUUUGACCAAGAAGGAUUGUUUUGGAUGGUCGGAAGAAGCAACAGAAGCUUUCAAUAAUUUGAAACGAGCUCUGUGCGAAGCUCCAGUGUUAGCGCUGCCUCGUUUUGACUUACCCUUCGUUGUUGAAACUGAUGCGUGUGGAGAGGGUAUAGGUGCGGUGCUAAUGCAAAAAGGCCACCCUAUUGCUUACAUCAGUCGUCAUCUUAAGGGUAAGCAACUGCAUCUUUCUAUCUAUGAGAAAGAACUUUUGGCAGUGGUGUUUGCAGUUCAAAAAUGGCGUCAUUAUCUUCUUACUGGUCAUUUUAUAAUCAAAACGGAUCAGCGUAGUUUGAAGUACUUGCUUGAACAGAGAUUGAAUACUCCUAUUCAGCAACAAUGGCUGCCAAAACUCUUGGAAUUUGACUAUGAGAUCCAGUAUAAACAGGGUAAAGAGAACCUUGUUGCUGAUGCUUUAUCAAGGAAGGAAGGUUCUGAAGUGUUGCACAUGGCAAUGACUGUUUUGGAGUGUGAUUUGAUGUUACAGAUUCAACAAAAUUAUGAUUCUGAUCCAACAACAAAGGAGAUUAUUGAAGCGUUGAAGUUGAGUUCGAGAAGUAAAAAACACUUUACAUGGUCUCAAGAGAUAUUAAGGAGGAAGAGUAAGCUGGUUGUGCCGAAUAAUACUAUUCUGCGUAACAAGAUCUUAGAUUGGAUGCAUAGUUCUUGCGGUGGAGGUCAUUCCGGACGUGAAGUUACGAGACAGAGAGUGAAAGGUCUGUUUUAUUGGAAAGGCAUGACCACAGAUAUUCAAGCUUUCAUACGCAGCUGUGAGGUUUGUCAAAGAUGCAAGUAUGACACUGCAGCUUAUCCUGGUCUGAUCCAACCUUUACCAAUUCCUGAGUUGAUUUGGACAGACAUUUCCAUGGAUUUUAUCGAUGGAUUACCUUCUUCUGCGGGUAAAACAGUGAUUUUGGUGGUGGUUGACAGGUUAUCUAAGGCCGCUCACUUCAUUGCUCUCUCUCAUCCGUAUACUGCAGCAUCAGUGGCUCAAGCUUUUCUCAACAAUGUGUUCAAGUUACACGGCUUCCCAAGAUCUAUUGUCAGCGAUCGUGAUGCAGUUUUCUUAAGUGAUUUUUGGAAAGAGCUGUUUGCUUUGCAGGGUGUAGCACUGAAUUACUCAAGUGCGUACCAUCCUCAGAGUGAUGGACAAUCUGAGGUGGUUAAUCGCUGCUUGGAGACAUAUUUGAGGUGCAUGUGUAGUGAUGAACCACAUCUUUGGAGUCGGUGGUUGCCUCUAGCUGAGUUUUGGUACAACACGAACUAUCACACAGCUAUUCAGAUGUCUCCUUUUGAAGCUGUGUAUGGUCAAGCUCCUCCACAACACUUACCUUAUCUACCUGGAGAGACUAAAGUGGCAGUGGUAGCUCGGUCGUUGGAAGAAAGGGAGAAGAUGUUAUUGGUCUUGAAGUUUCAUCUCUUGAGAGCUCAGCAUCGUAUGCAACAGGUUGCUAAUGAUCAUCGCACUGACAGGUCUUUCAAUGUUGGUGAUUAUGUCUUUGUGAAGUUGCAACCUUACAGGCAAAACUCCGUAGUUCACCGAAGUAAUCAGAAGCUAGCACCAAAAUAUUAUGGGCCUUAUGAGAUCAUUGAUCGUUGUGGGAAGGUUGCUUACAAGUUGAGGCUUCCGGAGUCUUCUCAAGUCCAUCCGGUUUUUCAUGUUUCACAACUUAAGAUAGUGGUGGGGGAUGUCCAUACUUCAACGGCUUUGCCUUCUCUUAACAAUGAGUUGUUGGUUAAGGAACCGGAGUUUAUCAUUGAGAGGAAAAUGGUUAAAAGGCAGAACAAACCUGCAACAAUGGAUUUGGUGAAAUGGAAGAAUAGACCUGCAGAGGAUUCAACGUGGGAGCUUUUGUAUGAUCUGGAGAAGCGCUUUCCUGAUACAAACCUUGUGGACAAGGUUGUCUAAACAGGGAGGAUUUGAUACAGAUAUUCAAGUGGUGCGGGACACGUCAUCAGCCACGUCAGAAGAGAGAGAGGACGCAAGAAGAAGUUUGUUACGAUUUCAAUUAAAAAGAGAGGGACGCUUUCAUUUUCAUUCAUUGGAGUAGUAUGAACAUUUUCUUUUCUUUUCUUUUCUACUUUCCUGGGAAAUCCAGUGAUUGAGUCGCUAGUCUGACUAGUUGCUUAACAUUGUAUUUCUUGAAUCGGUGUUUCCUGAACAUUGGAUUCUUCUUUCCUAUUCAUAAAUACAAAUACAAAUUAUUCUAUCACAACCACUGCUCGUUGCUCUACCAGAGUAUAGCUUCUCCACAAAUCUAAUCCUACAACUUCUUCCCUGUACAACAACAACACAAUUCAACUCAAUUGAGUAGAUGCUCAAAGAUAUGGUUCCAAAUCAACAAUCUGAAGCCUCAGAAGCUUAAAGAUUCAAUCUUUACAAGCACAUAAAAAUGAAGCUUCAAAAUCGUUCUCGCCAGCUCUCUACACGACGAUCCUUCACACGGAUAUUGGCUAAAUCUCCUAAAUGACUUUAAAAGCUUUAGAACAAGCAAAAGUCACAAAAGUCUAGUUGGCUAAAUAUUGGCUCUUUUUGAUUACUUCCGUUGUACAAAUCUCAUUUUUUUGUUCUCAGUAUUUCGUUAUUUCACGAGCUACUUAAGUACUAACUUCACAUUCGAUUGAGUUUGUUCUCAGAAUAUUUUUUGGAUAUGGGACGGUUCUAUAUAGUUUAUGGCUGUGAGGGUUGGCGUGGGGAUUGUAUUUGCCGAAGUUCAAAAGACUUCCCACUCCUUUUAGUUCCCGUCUUUACUUUUCGACUCAAGACUGGCUUACGUUUUCUUCUUGUAAAGAAGGUUCUCUCAGACUUUUCUCUUGGUCUUCUCAAAAGCAAGUACACGAGCUGACCUACACGGUAAACUGGUAGUCUGAUAGACCCGUAUCAAUCAAUGAGGAGGCAACUCUGCUUUCUGCAUUCAAGCAUACUAUUAAAUAUGCCAUGAGAAAUAUCCACACAUGAACUUAAUAUCGAUUAGGAAAAUUGUAUCGCAAAUGUAAACCUAAGUAAAUAAGUCUUUAGUAAGUACUUGUUGGUUGGUUUGAAAUUUGUUUGAAACUUCUCGUAAUUAAUGCAAGGGACCGACCAAUCUGUGUGGAAAUAGAUUAGUGAACACAAAAAAUUGAAGUUCAUGUGUAUGCUGAGCGUUUGGCUGAGGAAGGUAAAGCUACCUGCAAUGAGAUGCUUUCCACUAAGGAGUCUGCUCUGAUGUAUGCUGAGCGUUUGGCAGAGCUUGCUCCCGGAUGGGUAUAUGAGACUGCACAACCUCCUAAUUUUCAUACAGCUCAGAAUAAGUAUUACUUCUUUUGUCUGUUUGAUUAUUAUAAGAAAUUGCCAUUUCUUUGUUGUUAUUUUCCUUGAUGCGUUUUACCUUCAGAUGGUGGUCACUUGUUGAGAAGUCAUGGGGAAUAGUCCAAACAUAUCCACAAAUCUUGCCUUUUUACUCGGAUUUCAAUCAGGUAAUCUGAGAUUGAUCUAGUCUUUCUUCCUAUCAGUUAUCUGAUGCUCCAUGGUACAACAUAUCUUGCCAAAGUCUCCAGGUUCAACCAUCUUAUAGUCAUUCAUUGUACAUAUAAUAUUAUCUUCUCAUCUGAUUGUUGUGUUAUUCACGUCAGCCACUCCUAGAGUUCAAGGAAGACAAGUUCUAAACUUGGACUCCUGCUUCGUUUCUCAUCCCCAUCACACGAAACUAAAUCAAUACUUGUGGCCCCACAAGAACCAAUCCCCAUAUUAGUAGAUCACAUGUUCUUGAAGUGCCUUGUCAUGGAUGGACACACACUGAUUGAAAUCUUUGCCUUUUGCUACGGACCAUAGAACUCGACAAAGACAUCAGAGUACGUUGCAUUGCUCGGUCACAUCUCAAUCAAAGAUCAUGUUCAGCUCCUCCAGCAAAACUUCGUUUCCUUACAUCAUGGGUCAUCGAGGCUCAUAACAUACAGCUUGUACCGUGUAAUUCCGGUUCUAAGAUCCUCAGGGUUAAGCUAGAAUGGAGACAGAAACAGCGUGAAGACUCUGUUCUCCCAGUGUACAAUGUGUAUGCAGAGAGUGUGAAGUCAACUGAUGUACUAAGAUCGAGGAAGGUUUUGGAGAAACCAAGAAGCGAGAGAGUGUUCCUCGGAAUCUCUCACGUACCAGCCUACUACGUUUCGGAACUGGUGCUAGAUUCGGACGUGAAAGGAGUCAGCUUCGUGGUUCAAUCCUGUGGUGAAGAUGGUUCAUGGAUGAAGGUAGAUGAUUCCCCUAACCUUCUUGUGGACUUGGAAGGUCUCUCGUAGGUUGCUUGAAACUAUGUAUGAAACGAUUAAUAAUGUAUAUUACAAAAAUACAUUAAUAUAGAAAGUGGGGAAAAACAUAAUAAAAAAAUCUGAACUAGUCUUACCAACUAGUCUCCUCCAUAUGUGAACUAGUCUCUUUUCUGUAUAUUUUAUCGAAUGAAAGUGGGAUAAUUAUCACCAAACUUGUUAUUAUGGACUGAGAAAGAAAAAAUGCGGAAACUGAUUGGGUCAUCAACAUUUAUUUUCGGGCAAUUCUCUCAGAUAACUAUUUUUAAGUUUUUAUCAUAAAAAUAGCCCUCAAAAAAUAAAAUGACAAAAAAAAAUUUAUUUUGAAUUUUUUACAUUUAUUUUUUAUCCUUUUUAAACUUGAAAUCUUAUCCCAAAAUCUCACAUUUUAGCUCUAAACCCUAAGUCUAGAUUAAUUAACUUUAGGGAUAUAAAUACAUAUUUAACUUUUAAUAAAAUCUCUUUCGAUCAUUUUCCAUCUUGAUAACUAUUUUUAUGAAUUAAAAAGGCUAUUCGAUAGAAUUUCGCUUCAUAUAUUGAAGAAGAAAGAAAAAUCGACCGAGUAAAAUCGGGGAAAAUGCAUAUUUCAACCUGAACAUUACUCAUUGUGUUUAUUCUUACCUGAACUUUGUAAAAGUGCGUAUUUCAUACCGAACUACAUAAAAGCUCAAAAAUACUACAUGAAUUUUAAACGUUAUGCCUUUUUCUUUGCGAAGUUUACAGUAGUGCAUAUAUCAUACUGAACUAAACAAAAAUUCAAAAAUACUACAUGUACUCUUAAAAUCGUGCUAUACUGACCAUCAAAGGUGUUAUUCAACAAUUAAUUUAUCAAACGACGUUGUUUUUAAUAAAUUCUGUAAAUUUUUAAUUUAACAAUACUAUAUUUUUAAACACCUUAAAAAUAUUACAUAAACUCUCAAAAUCGUGUUUACAUAUUAAUUUUUAAUUUUACAAAAUUUAACCAAAAUGACGUCAUUUUGAUAAAUUAACGGAUGACUAACAUCUUUGAUUGUCAAUCUAUAUAUAAACACGAUUUUGAAAGUUUAUGUAGUAUUUUCAAAUUUUAAAUUUUACAGAAUUUAUCAAAAACAAAAUCUUUUGCCUCUGAUCUAAAGGCAAACCAACACAAAAUUCUAAAAUUUUACAAUAUAGUUCAAUUUUUAGUAAUACUAUAAAGUAAAUAUUUAAAUUAAUAAUAAUUGGUCUAAAUUUAUAAAAUAUUUUUAAAGUUAAAUUAAAACAUAAAUGAUUAUACAUUUUUUUAUAAAACUGGAACAAUAAAACUUUGAUAAUAUUUAUUUGAUUAAAAUAAAACUUAAAUAUCAGUUACUGUUUAAAAAUUUAUACAAUAAAUUUACAUUGGUCUAGUAAUUAAUCUGAUUUUACUUGUCCACCAGUAUGAGAAUUUGAACCUUCCAAAAAUUAAUUUUUAAUUUUACAGAAUAUAUUCAAAAUGACGUCAUUUAAUAAAUUAACGGAUGACUAAUAUUUUUGACGUCAAUAUAUAUAAACACGAUUUUGUGAGUUUAUACAGUAUUUAAAUUUUACAUUUUACAUAAUUUAUCAAAAACGACGUCGUUUGAUAGAUUAAUGGUUGAAUAACACCUUUGACGAUUAAUAUAUAUAUAUUAGCACAAUUUUGAGAAUUUAUGUAGUGUUUUUGAAUUUUUUGUUUAGUUCAGUAUGAAAUAUGCACUACUAUAAAUUUCAGAAAGGAAAAAGUACAACACUUAAAGUUUAUAUAGUAUUUUAAAGUUUUAUGUAAUUCGGUAUGGAAUACCACCACUUCAAAGUUCGGGAGAAAAUAAGCACGACGGGUAAAGUUCAGGUUGAAAUAAACAUUUUUCCCAAUGAUUCAGUCACAUUCACAAUUAAUUUUACAAAAAAAUUCCAAAAUGACGUCAUUUUGAUAAAUUAAUGGAUGACUAACAACUUUGAUUGUCAAUAUAUAUAUAAGCACGAUUUUAAGAGUUCAUGUAGUAUUUUUGAAUUUUUUUGUUAGUUCAAUAUGAAAGAUGCACUACUUUAAAGUUCGUGAAGAAAAAUACACAACACUUAAAGUUCAUGUAGUAUUUUUUGAAUUUUUAUGUAGUUCGGUAUGAAAUAGACAUUAUUACAAAGUUCAGGUAGGAAUAAGUACGAUGGUUAAAAUUCACGUUGAAAUAUGCACUUUUCCCGAGUAGACGAUCUCCCCUGAGGAAUAUUAUUAGUUGAAGAAUGUACUCGCUAUGAUAUGGGGCCAUAUGGCUCGAUAGUGAUUACAUUCAUGACGAAAAAUUAAUUCUUCUGUCAUGAAGAAUGUUCUCGUCCAGCUAGCUUGAUAUUUUUGCUCAUUUUGAUUGAUUCUUAGUGAAGAGUUGAUCCUUUUGUCAUGUUUGCAUAUAUUUCUCAUUUUCGAAGUCAUGAGGAAUAAACCAAAAAUAAAAAUAAGACCACUGGCCGUUGAUUUUUCUUGGAAAGGUUGAUGUUUGUUUUCUUCUUAUUAGUAUAAGAGAUUCAUUCUUAUUUUGAAAUUCUAUCAAAAUUAAACUAGUGUAGCAGUUAAAUUAGUUUUUUUUUUCUUAAAGCUAGGAAUGUCAUAAUGUCAUAAAAUCUUGACUUUUUUAAAUUAUAAGUAAAAAAGAUAAAACAUUCAUUUACUAUCAAAUCGAAAGACUAUAAUAUAUGCAAUGCAUGGGUCUUAGUAUAUGCAAUAUGCAUGGGUCUCGUAAACAUUAGUUUGAAUCCAAAUAUAAACCUAAGCAAAAUAAGACUUCAUAAUUAACGUCUUCUUUGGUGUAGACAAUUUUUUUUUUUUGAAAAUUCAUGUAAUUAGUGUAGGGGACCAAUAUGUGUGGAAAUUUGACUAUCCGACACAAAGACUUUGCUUUCGACGUGAUGAAUAUUGGAUUUAUCUCUGUGGAUAUUUUCUGUGUGGAAUAAAAACGAAGUCUAUUAUUGCGCUAUAAAGAGAUGGGCAUGGAAGCAUGUUACUCAUCACCAAUUUCCCUUUUCUUUUCAAAGUUAAAUAAGCUUAAAGAAGAAUGAAAGGCUUUUGGAACAUAACGAGUACCUUUUCUCUUACUCUUUCUAUACUUUUCCUAUUCGGCUACAGUUAUGAGGACGUGUCUGCGGUUCCCACUAGGCACUUGUGUCGUCCGGAACAAAGGGAUGCACUUCUCCAAUUCAAGAACGAGUUUGAGGUUCUAAACUUUUCCUUAACUUACUAUUAUUGUAUGUAUAAAGGUAUUAAACCUCAUGGGAAAACAGAGUCAUGGAUGAAUAACAGCGACUGCUGUAAUUGGGAGGGUAUAACGUGCAACCCCAAUUCCGGUGAAGUGAUUGGGAUAGACCUUAGUUGCAGCUACCUACGUGGCAGGUUUCAUUCUAGUAGCAGUCUUCAAAACCUUCAUUCUCUAACCACUCUAGUCCUUUCAAAUAAUGAAUUUAGUGGUCCAAUCAUGUCUUUAAUUGGAAACCUUUCUCAUCUCACCUCUGUGGACCUUUCGCGAAAUGGUUUCAGCGAGUUCAUUCCUUCUUCGAUAGUAGAUAUUUAUUAUCUCAACUUUCUCGAUCUUUCAUCUAAUCGUUUUUCUGGUCAGAUUCCAUCUUCUAUUGGAAAUCUUUCUCAUCUCACCUAUCUCGAUCUUUCAUAUAAUAGUUUUCCUGGUCAGAUUCCAUCUUGGAUUGGAAAUCUUUCUCAUCUCACCAAUCUUGACCUUCGUUCUAAUCAGAUUUUGGGUCAGAUUCCAACUUGGAUUGGAAAUCUUUCUCAUCUCACCAAUCUUGACCUUCGUUCGAAUCAGAUUUCGGGUCGGAUUCCAUCUUCGAUUGGAAAUCUUUAUAACCUCGCUUAUCUUGACCUUUUUGGGAAUGAUAUUGUUGGAGAAAUCCCAUCUUCUUUUGGCAAUCUAAACCAGCUGACCACCUUAGAUGCUAGUCUCAAUAGGCUCAAUGGAAGCCUUCCCAUUGCACUACUGAAUUUGACAAAGUUGUCAUAUUUAGGACUCUAUUACAAUCAGUUCACAGGCACAAUUCCUCAUAACAUCACUUCACUAUCCAAAUGAUUCAGUCACAUUCACAAUUAAUUUUACAAAAAAAUUCCAAAAUGAAGUCAUUUUGAUAAAUUAACAGAUGACUAACAACUUUGAUUGUCAAUAUAUAUAAGCACGAUUUUGAGAGUUCAUGUAGUAUUUUUGAAUUUUUGUUUAGUUCAAUAUGAAAUAUGCACUACUGUAAAGUUCGUGAAGGAAACACAACGCUUAAAGUUCAUGUAGUAUUUUUUGAAUUUUUAUGUAGUUCGGUAUGAAAUAUGCAUUAUUACAAAGUUCAGGUAGGAAUAAGUAUGAUGGUUAAAAUUCACGUUGAAAUAGGCACUUUUCCCGAGUAGACAAUCUCGCCCUGAGGAAUAUUAUUAGACCAACCGCAACGGAGGCACGUUGGGAGUCCUUAGCCGCUAAACCGAUGUAUUAUGCAAUUUUAUAAUAAUAUUUAGGUUAAGAUAACCAAGGAUGAGUCCGUAGAUAAGGAGUCGAAGGACUUGAUCCUUGUGCACGUGGCGGAGGGUGAUAGGGCUGGGUCGCAUAUGUGUUUUGUUUUGAAAAAAAAAAAUCAUUCAACCGAAGCCGAGGAAAAAAAAAACAAAGCUCUCGACGAAAAGGCGAUAUCGUUGUGGUUCCUCAAUCGUGUUCUUCCACGAAGAUCCAAGGUAAAUCGUUGUCUUCUGUGGUCGAUUUAAUGAUUAAACUAGGUUUUAUGAUGUUAUCGUCUCAAUUUAGGGUUCGUUUUCCGUUUCAAUCGAUUUGGGGAUACUUUCGAUUUAGGGUUUCAAAAUUUUUUUGGGUUUUCAAUUGAUUUCCGAUUCUUUUGGCUUCAACUUAUUCAAAACGUUCUCGGUUUCAAUCUAAGGGAUCUUCGUAUUUGUUCUUAAACAUGUUUCGAUUUCGGUUUCGAAAUACCAAUUUGUUUUCAAUCGAUUUGAACGUCUAUUUGUUUUCUUAUUACGGUUUAUAUGUGUUUGGUUUUUAGUUUGCGUAUCUGUAUGGUUUGGUUAUUCUUAUCUUGUUGUCUGUUAAACUCGAAAACUCAAUCUUGGAUGCCCUCUGUAGUGUUGCCUAUCUUGUUUUAUUAGUUCUCGUUCUCGUUAUUCUGUUCUGUUGCUCUGUAGUCUUAUUGCUCUUUAAUAAUCCUUCUUCUUUGCUUAUAAAUUAUCUAUUUUUUUCAGGUCAACCAACCAUGGGACAAGACUAUAGCUACAGCCAGCCUUCUUCAUCUUCGGAGUUUGACAUGACCUCCCUACUCUUAGCAGAAGCUGAAGCCUACGCGGAUGAAGCUGAGAGUAGCUACACAAUUGAAGAGCCGGUUCAGUACCCACUGCAACCUGAGGCAGAUGAAGGCAUCCCGACGACAUGCUAUUGUGGUGCUGAGCCAGUUGUUGAAACUUCGUACACUCCUAGAGAUCCAGGCAGAAGGUACUUCUCGUGCGUCAACGUUGACGAUGGAGACUGUCACAUUUGGAAGUGGUGGGAUGUGGCGAUCAUGGAGGAGAUGCGUGACGUUCAGAGAAAAAUCAGGCUUCUCAAGGAUCAAUUCUUUGAGACUGACCAGAAGGUGGCAAAGCUAGAGAAGACCGUUGGUUUGUUACGUAAGAAGAAUUCAGGGGUUGCAAAGGGAGUUUGUCUACUGGUCAUGGUAAUAACGGUCAUGAUUUUGUGCUGGUAAGUUACUAUCCUUAGUUUAGGUAAUUUAUUUGAAUAAAAAAUACUUGUAACUCUUUUCUGUUAUGUGUUUUCAGGAAGAGCUUUGGAGGAUUUAAGCCACAACGUCUCAACUCGAGAUUGUCUUGCCAGGUACGAUCUUGCUGCUGCUUAAUAAAAACCAGGAUUUGGUCGGGAGCAUUGACUGUAUGCAUUGGGAGUGGAAAAAUUGCCCAACCGCUUGGAAAGGACAGUACGCACGUGGAUCAUCAAAACCGACAAUUGUCCUAGAGGCUGUAGCUUCGCAAGAUUUUUGGAUCUGGCACACCUUUUUUGGUCAUCCAGGUACAUUAAAUGAUAUUAAUGUCCUCGAUCGGUCUCCUGUAUUUGAUGAUAUUUUAGAAGGUCGAGCUCCCAGGUUAAGGUAUGUGGUCAACGGACACAUGUAUAAGUUGGCAUACUACCUCACAGACUGUAUAUAUCCCAAAUGGUCAACAUUUAUCCAAUCUAUCACACUCCCUCAAUCUCCGAAACAAGAGUUAUUUGCUAAAGUGCAAGAAGCAGCCCGAAAAGAUGUGGAGCGGGCUUUUAGAGUAUUGCAAGCUUGAUUUGUGAUUGUGAAAAACCCGGUUCGUACAUUGGACAAAGAAAAGAUAAGGAAGAUUAUGAGAGCGUGUAUCAUACUACACAAUAUGAUAGUUGAAAAUGAACGAGAUGGUUACAGCCGGUACGAUGCAGAAGAAUUUGAAGAAGGAGACGUCACCAGAAGUUCAGAGGUCGAAACCAAGAGGCCUACAAAUAUGAAUAAUUUGUUUCCCAAUCGGAAUGAUCUUCGUGAUAGGCAUAUGCAUGAACGAUUGAAGAAUGAUUUAAUCAAAAAUAUUUAGAACAAAUUUGGUGAUGAAGAUUAAUAAUUUGUGUAUCUUUUCCUUUCAUCAUUGUAUCUUUAUUUUUAGUUAUGCAAUUAACAAAAUUUCAAUUUCAAUUUAAUUUUUUUUUUAUUAUUGCUAAGGACUUCAUCUUCAGACACACCAUUGGACGACCAUUUUUGAUUCCAAUCCUUAACUAUUCAAAAAAAAUAUAUAUUAAUAAAAUAAUGCUAAAGAUCCAUUGCUGGAGCACACCAUUGCAUAUGCUCUUAGUUGAAGAAUGUACUCGCUAUGAUAUGGGGACAUAUGGCUCGAUCGUGAUUACAUUCAUGACGAAAAAUUAAUUCUUCUGUCAUGAAGAAUAUUCUCGUCCAGCUAGCUUGAUAUUUUUGCUCAUUUUUUUUUUUUGAUAACUAUGGUAUCUGGGCAGCCACAGUCCCAACUAUCCCCCGUAGGGGGUCCAGCGCUCCAGCGGAAGGGAUGUUAAAUCCGCUGUGGCCGGGGCUCGAAGUCGGGCACCUCAGCCGAGGUUCUUUUACCACCAGACCACGAGGCCCGGUUAAAAACUGUUGUGGGUAAACUUUUUAUAUUGACUGACCCCACCCCGAAAGGCCCCGCAUCUAGGAAAACCCCUUAGGAUUUUUUUGGAGAGGUUUCAGUACCACCCCGCCGACAGAGUGUCGAACCCGCGACCUCUGGCAGUCGUGUGUGAGAAUCCCUUCAGUACUGCCGCUAGGCCACCUGAAGUAUCUCAAAACUGUUGUGGGUAAACUUUUUAUAGUGACUGACCCCACCCCGAAAGACCCCGCAUCCAGGAAAACCCCUUAGAAUUUUGUUGGAGAGGUUUCAGUACCACCCCGCCGACAGAGUGUCGAACCCGCGACCUCUGGCAGUCGUGUGUGAGAAUCCCUUCAGUACUGCCGCUAGGCCACCUGAAGUAUCUCCAAGUGAUUGAUUCUUAGUGAAGGGUUGAUCCUUUUGUCAUGUUUGCAUAUAUUUCUCAUUUUUGAAGUCAUGAGGAAUAAACCAAAAAUAAAAAUAAGACCGCUGGCCGUUGAUUUUUCUUGGAAAGGUUGAUGUUUGUUUUCUUCUUAUUAGUAUAAGAGAUUCAUUCUUAUUUUGAAAUUCUAUCAAAAUUAAACUAGUGUAGCAGUUAAAUUAGUUUUUUUUUAUUAAAGCUAGGAAUGUCAUAUAAAUUAAACUAGUGUAGCAGUUAAAUUAGUUUUUUUUUUCUUAAAGCUAGGAAUGUCAUAAUGUCAUAAAAUCUUGACUUUUUUAAAUUAUAAGUAAAAAAGAUAAAACAUUCAUUUACUAUCAAAUCGAAAGACUAUAAUAUAUGCAAUGCAUGGGUCUUAGUAUAUGCAAUAUGCAUGGGUCUCGUAAACAUUAGUUUGAAUCCAAAUAUAAACCUAAGCAAAUUAAGACUUCAUAAUUAACGUCUUCUUUGGUGUAGACAAUUUUUUUUUUGAAAAUUCAUGUAAUUAGUGUAGGGGACCAAUAUGUGUGGAAAUUUGACUAUCCGACACAAAGAUUUUGCCUUCGACGUGAUGAAUAUUGGAUUUAUCUCUGUGGAUAUUUUCUGUGUGGAAUAAAAACGAAGUCUAUUAUUGCGCUAUAAAGAGAUGGGCAUGGAAGCAUGUUACUCAUCACCAAUUUCCCUUUUCAUUUCAAAGUUAAAUAAGCUUAAAAGAAGAAUGAAAGGCUUUUGGAACAUAACGAGUACCUUUUCUCUUACUCUUUCUAUACUUCUCUUACUCGGCUACAGUUAUGAGGACGUGUCUGCGGUUCCAACUAGGCACUUGUGUCGUCCGGAACAAAGGGAUGCACUUCUCCAAUUCAAGACCGAGUUCGAGGUUCUAAACUCUUCCUUUUCUUCUUAUAAUUGUUAUAUCAAUGAUGAUAUACUAGUGUCUCAUCGGAAGACGGACUCAUGGGCGAAUAACAGCGACUGCUGUAAUUGGGAGGGUAUCACGUGCGAUGCCAAAUCCGGUGAAGUGAUCGAGCUAGACCUUAGUUGCAGCAACCUACGUGGCACGUUUCGUUCCAAUAGCAGUCUGCAAAACCUUCAUUCUCUAACCACCCUAAACCUUUCACUUAAUGAUUUUAGUGGUCAAAUCAUGUCUUCAAUUGGAAACCUUUCUCAUCUCACCUCUCUCGACCUUUCACUAAAUGGUUUCAGCGAGUUCAUUCCUUCUUCGAUAGUAGAUCUUUAUUAUCUCACCUCUAUCGAUCUUUCUCAAAAUCGUUUUUCGGGUCAGAUUCCAUCUGCGAUUGGAAAUCUUUCUCAUCUCACCAAUCUUGAGCUUCGUUCGAAUCAGAUUUCGGGCAAGAUUCCAUCUUCUAUUGGAAAUCUUUAUAACCUCGCUUAUCUUCGCCUUUCUGGGAACAAUAUUGUUGGAGAAAUCCCAUCUUCUUUUGGCAAUCUAAACAAGUUGACCAGCUUAGAUGUUGCUGUAAAUUGGCUCAAUGGAAGCUUUCCCAUUGCACUACUGAAUUUGACAGAGUUGUCAUCUUUGCUACUCUAUUACAAUCAGUUCACAGGAACAAUUCCUCCUAACAUCACUUCGCUAUCCAAAUUGACGACCUUUGAUGCAAGAAACAACGCUUUCACUGGGACCCUGCCUUCUUCCCUCUUAACCCUUCCUUCUAUGGAUAGUGUUGAUUUGUUUGAUAACCAACUCAACGGUAAUCUUGAACUUGGGAAUAUAUCUUCACCAUCUAAGCUACGAGAGUUAGACGUUGGCAGAAACAACUUGAGAGGGCCAAUCCCGGCCACGAUAUCAAAAUUUACAAACCUUGUCCGACUUGACCUUUCCCACUACAAGACACAAGGUCCGAUUGAUUUUAGUAUCUUCUCGCAUCUCAAGAGGCUGGAAGAUCUUGACCUAUCCUAUUUGAACACGACCACUACCAUUGACUUGAAUGAUAUCUUGUCAUAUUUUAAGAGACUCAGUUGGUUGGUUCUCUCAGGCAACCAUGUUUCAGCCACAAACAAGAGUCCAGUCUCAGAUCCCCCUUUGCUGCAUUAUUUGGAAUUGUCAGGCUGCGGUAUCAACGAGUUUCCAGAGUUUGUAAGAAACCAAAAUAUGUCAUUUAUAGACAUUUCCAACAAUAAAAUCAAAGGACAAGUGCCCGGCUGGUUGUGGACGAAGCUACCGAAUCUGUCUUACCUGGAUCUUUCCAACAACAAUUUCACUGGCUUCGAAAAACCAACAACAGUUUUAGUUUCAGGGCUAUAUAGCAUAACCGUGCUUGCCUCAGACAACAAUUUCACGGGAAAGAUUCCUUCUUUCAUAUGUGAUUUGCGCUCUGUAUACAUUCUUGAUUUAUCAAACAACAACUUCAGUGGUUUAAUCCCUCGUUGUCUGGGUAAUCUCAAGCUUUCUCUUUUAUACCUAAACCUUCGUCAGAAUCGUCUUCAUGGAGGUCUUCCGGAGAAUAUAUUUGAAAGCUUAAUAACGCUUGACGUCGGUCAUAACCAACUGACUGGAAAGCUUCCAAGAACUUUGAUUCAUUCCCC